GGGAGAGGCUAGCUAGGCAACGAAAACUGCUAAUUCUCGCCACCUUGGUUGGACUCCAAGGCUCACCCG
This 69-nucleotide transfer RNA is filed under the name Lophiodes caulinaris (spottedtail angler). RNAcentral's name for it is "tRNA-Ser". The record is from RNAcentral. Lineage: Eukaryota; Metazoa; Chordata; Actinopteri; Lophiiformes; Lophiidae.